CGUCUGCCGAAGCCAAUGGGGCGAAGAGCAUUAACUACAGUUUCAGACCUUGAUUUGGAAAGAUCAUAAUUAGCACAUUCAUUAAGGUGCGACUUCUGUUCCCUUUAAAAGGCGGAUUUGGCUCGGAUCAUGUAAUACAGGACUCUGGAUUCAUACCUCAAGACUGACAAUUUUGUAUGCGGAGCACAAAAGUGACUAUGGCUUGACUGCUUCUUGGUCUGUGCAAAUAUUUCUAAUGUUCAGAGGACUGUAUUAAGAUCAGUGGGUUCUACUCUAGCACUGAAGAGCAGAACCCACAACACCUUGAAAUCAGUGAAAAUAUUUCUCAGCAGUCAG
This 336-nucleotide long non-coding RNA is filed under the name Pelusios castaneus (West African mud turtle). RNAcentral describes it as "lncRNA (ENSPCEG00000004699.1)". The record is from RNAcentral. Lineage: Eukaryota; Metazoa; Chordata; Testudines; Pelomedusidae.